RNAcentral lists this ribosomal RNA (468 nucleotides) under uncultured bacterium. RNAcentral's name for it is "partial 16S ribosomal RNA". It matches the Rfam family "Bacterial small subunit ribosomal RNA", at positions 28 to 507 of the family's 1533-position model. The record is from RNAcentral.
GACGAACGCUGGCGGCGUGCUUAACACAUGCAAGUCGAACGGAAAGGCCCUGCUUUUGUGGGGUGCUCGAGUGGCGAACGGGUGAGUAACACGUGAGUAACCUGCCCUUGACUUUGGGAUAACUUCAGGAAACUGGGGCUAAUACCGGAUAGGAGCUCCUGCUGCAUGGUGGGGGUUGGAAAGUUUCGGCGGUUGGGGAUGGACUCGCGGCUUAUCAGCUUGUUGGUGAGGUAGUGGCUUACCAAGGCUUUGACGGGUAGCCGGCCUGAGAGGGUGACCGGCCACAUGGGGACUGAGAGACGGACCAGACUCCUACGGGAGGCAGCAGGGGGGAGUAUUGCGCAGUGGGCGGGAGCGUGAUGCAGCAACGCCGCGUGCGGGAUGACGGCCUUCGGGUUGUAAACCGCUUUCGCCUGUGACGAAGCGUGAGUGACGGUAAUGGGUAAAGAAGCACCGGCUAACUACGUG